RNA transcript from Gossypium arboreum, 944 nucleotides. It is a transcript of the gene named 60S ribosomal protein L34-like, with no coding region annotated. The record is from RefSeq and is a predicted model, not a curated record. NCBI's taxonomy places the organism in Eukaryota, Viridiplantae, Streptophyta, Magnoliopsida, Malvales, Malvaceae. The transcript has 5 exons.
ACUUAUACAUUGUCUUCUCUGGUACAAAACCCUUUGGUCUCCACUUUGUCUCUCUUAAGUCUUACCAUAAAACAGAGCAGAGAAGGUAAAACCCGAAGUUUGAAAACCAUCAAAAAUGAUUCAAAGGCUCACUUACCGUACUCGCCAUAGCUACGCUACCAAAUCCAAUCAACACCGUGUCGUUAAGACCCCUGGUGGGAAAUUGGUCUAUCAGACAACUAAGAAAAGAGCAAGUGGGCCUAAGUGUCCUGUCACUGGCAAGAGAAUUCAGGGUAUUCCUCACUUGAGACCUGCUGAAUACAAAAGGUCUAGAUUGCCAAGGAACUGCCGGACUGUGAAUCGUGCUUAUGGUGGUGUUUUGUCCUGCAGUGCUGUUAGAGAGAGGAUAAUUCGAGCCUUCUUGGUGGAAGAGCAGAAAAUUGUAAAGAAGGUUCUGAAGAUCCAGAAGUCCAAGGAAAAGCAAGCUUCAAAGAGCUAAGAAAUUAGAUGUCGAAUCAUCAUUUCAAUUCUGAUAUGUGAUCAGCAAGGCUUUGGAAAGUGCCACCAAUGACUUCAGAAGAUUAGAGCUGGACGGUAUAGACGACCCACAUUCUCUUCCACCUUGAUCAAUUGUCUCUCAGAGACCUCAUGCAACCCUUCCAAUCUAAUCAGUCUUCUAUAUCUGUCUCUGUGAGGAAGAGUGAGUUUCUUAAAUUUGGGUUAUCUUGGAACAGGUGGCAAAGACUAUUGGUGGGUCUCGUCAAGACUGUAGGGAGCAUAGGAGAGAGUGAGUUUGGAUGAUAGUGGCAAGGAUGAAUCGGGAAUGGGAAGCAAAGUCAUGGUGGAUGUAAUUGUAACAAUCUUGCUGGAAGAAGAUGAAAGAGAAAAUGUGUGACCAAACUCUUUGUAUAAUUUUAAUAUGAAUUAUAAGACCAAAUUAAGUUUAUUUGCUUUGCGUUCCCAAA